Meleagris gallopavo (turkey) is the source of this 2649-nucleotide non-coding RNA. NCBI's taxonomy places the organism in Eukaryota, Metazoa, Chordata, Aves, Galliformes, Phasianidae. The record is from RefSeq and is a predicted model, not a curated record.
GCAAAGACUAUUCAGACAGCUGCUGAGAGGGAAAAUGAGACUUGUGGAGCACAGGGGAUGCAAAAGAUCCUUGGGAGUCUUCCAAAACUCCAACCUUCCUGCUGGCCAGAGCAGCUGCAACAGCCUGAGUCCUGUGGGAAGGGAGGAGGGACUUGGCACCUGAGUAAGACCUUCAGGAACAAGGUAAUGGGACUCGGCUGCCCUAAGCCCAAGGUUUGGGGUUCCCAUGUUCUCCAGCAUCCCUGUAACCUGCUAACACCUCCCAGCAGAAAUAAAUUGUUCCAAACCAAGUUAAUGUAGUUUUAGCAUUUCUCGCUCUGCAAGGAGUGAGGGGAUGCAGCAGCCAUCUCACUGCUCAGUUCUUGUUCAGCAGCCCAGAGCCACAUCCCAUCUCAGGGCUUCAGGAAACAGAAAACUCGGCCACCUCAAUCCUUGAGAGCACAGUUUGCCCCUUCUGCAGCCUCAGGUGUUCAUUCCCAGCAGGGAGCUGCCCCCCAGCCUCCAGCACAUGGCCUUUCUUUUGCUGUUCUCAUGCAGGCAUCCCAAAUCCCCACCAGCAGUCAGGGGUAGGUAAUAGACAGCUGUGUGUGACAUGUGCUGUGGUGUAAGUGUCGGUAACCACCAACAUGUUCUGCACACAGGGGCUGUGCUUUGUGUCUGGGACAGCUCCCAAAGCAGCAAAGCAUUUGGAGGGGCAAACCCAGCAGGAGCUCUGGGCUGGCUCUUACCCACCCCUGUGCAGCAGAUCCCAGGUUGUUUGGGCUGUGCUGCAUCCUGCUUUCCCCCACGUUCCAGCAUCCAGGUGUCCCUGGGCUGUGUUUGUUUUUCAGGUAGCACUUCCUUGCCUUUCAGAGUUCAGUCUCUGCUCUCAGACAUUUCCUGUGGGUUGAACGCAUCCUACCAAGCGUUCCCACCCCUCAGUGCCAUGGCCUCUAGCAUUAAUAACCCAGUGGUUAUUCACUUGCUGCCAUCACUUAUUAUUUUUUCUUUUUAAUUUUUUUUUUUAAUUUUUCCUUCUUAGUCUAUUCCUAAAGACAUCCCCGGAGCCAAUAUGCUUCAGUUGCUGAGAUCUGCCCACCUCUCUGACAGGUGGGUGGUGGAUGCUCAGUGCCUCUGUCCUGGGGAUGGAGGUGGCACUCAGUGCUGUGCUGCAGCUCUCAUCUGGCUGCACUUGCUCUGCGUUGGUGCAGCACUGCAGGGUCUCUCGCAGGCACAGUUGCACUCUUUGCUGCUCUCCUGCAGUAGCCAUGUCCUCGGCACAGGCAGUGCUGUGAUAGCAGAAGUUGGGCUCCCAUUCCCUCUUUUGGUGCUUUGUAGAAAAGCACGGCCAUAUUGGGAUCUCAGCCUGGGCAGGGAGAAGCUCGAGGAUGGAGAAAAAGGGACAGAAGCGGUGAGGUGGCACUGGAGAUGGCAUGGGGUGAGUGGUGCCUGGGGUCUGUCCCCAUGUCUGUGGGUCAGCACCAUCACCUCCCUGGGGCACAGGGCUCAUCCUGCUGCCCCAGAGUGAUGUCACACUGCAGGAAGAGCCGUGGAGGGUUCAAGAGAGGGGCAGGGAUAGGGCUGUUCUCCCUCAGAACUGUGGUGCGUGUGCCUGGGCUGCUCCUUCCCUCUGGCCUAGGAGAUGCCUAGCAGUGGUUCCUGGUCAUGUUUGAGUCCAUUGCUGGUUUGGGUCGUUCUGUUACAAAAGCAAAGCUCUGCAGAGCCAGCAGAGCCCCUGGCUGUGUCCCCUCACGUCCUGGAGGAGCUGUGGCUGCAUCCUCUACCAGGUACUCAUUAUGGUUAAUUGCGGUGUCCCGUUUAACUUGCCUUAAAGGUGGGGAGAGAAACUUAGUAUUUGCACUUAGCAAAACGUCCUAUGAAAAGAAAGAAACCCUGUAAAGAUGUGCAUGUUCUGCAACUUUGUAUAACAAUAGCUGAAAAACAAAUAGGUUGGUUUAUUGAAAUAAAAUAAAUAAAUAUUUUUCUUUACCUUCUGGUAGUAAAACCGUUCUCAUAUUCCGUGUGUACAGAGUUUCCCUGUAUUAUAUUGUAAUUUGGAUUUUUUUGUGUGUUGUUUUUGUAAAUAAAUCUGUGCACUCUGGCUUCCAGCUCCAGGCUGUGCUUAUGGGAUGGGGGGAGCAGACACGUCCUCCCCCAGCUUAACGCUCUCCAAAUGCUGUCGGGAGAAAUGGAAUAGAAAAUGGUUUCCAGUCGCUCCUGUAAAUGGAAACCAGGAGGUGUGAGCACGGCUCAGUGGGGCGCGGGGCUGAAGCCAGGAGGAGCAGCUCUGACCCACACUGGCUCUGGAGCAUCCUGGGGGCUGCUGGGCACCACAGAACGCCCCCCAGCCUCCAUCCAGCGAUGGCUUUGAGGCCGGAGGAAGGAGCCAAUGGGUACCAGUCACACAGAGCCCUGGGCUGCGCUGCCUGACCACAAACCCACAGCUCCAGCUGCCAGGCUGUGCCCCAUGGAUGCCAAUGGGUUGAGGACCCCCUGAGCCCCAACAGACCACACGUCGCCACUCGUAUCCGAAUGCAGUCAAGAGGUGGCACGCGGCCGCAGCUCAGGAGGAGCCCCACAGGAGCCCCCCAGCCCGGCCAAUGGGUGCUCAGCGAUUGGCAUCACUGUUCCAGUAUUCAAUGAGGAAAAAAAGAAAAGAAAAAAGUAAAA